GUCUCCAAAAUGAAAUUUUGGCAUAUUAACUGCAUUGGCUGGCUUUCUGGACCUAAAGACAUUAUACAAUUAAAAGAUAAGUGUUUGCAAACAACGAAAAUCUUGUUAAAAGUGAGCUGAGAAACGUUAAAACAAGUAAAAUGAAAAGUGCAUGGUUUAAAAAAAUCAAUAAAAUUUUACUUGCAUGGUACAGCAUGAAAAAGCAUGUUAUGUUAUGGCCUGUCUCUUCAACCGCAGAAAAUUAUAUAAAGACCUUGUUCCCUGAAUAUCACAAUUAAUCAUUCUCACUUGUAAAUAUAUAAUUAAAUGUUUACAGUGCGAUUACUGCAACGUUUCCCAUUUUUAUACGAUGCGCUGACAAACCGAUCGCUUAUACAUGAUGACCUUCAUCCACAAAGGGGGCUGUGGUUGCUGUCUUUCAAUUAGCUAUCAAAUUAAUUAAUUUUCUGAAGCGUUAUCAAUGACAUUUUGCUUUUACUACACACUUGACAUGUUGUUCCAUCAUUUCAUCAUUAGUGUUCUAAAAAUUGUAAAACAGACGUCGUUUGUCAUAAUAGAGCAUUGCGAAUCCGUAAGCCUUUGGAUCAGUCUGCCCUUCCAGAAAGUACCGUAUAUUCUGUACCGGCCCACUUGCCAACAAGCUGUGUGAACUUGUAAUACAAUUUUUUCUGGAUGUGCUUUUACCACGAUAGCAGGGACAAGACGUUUUUGUUUCGAACUAGGAUCCCGCAGGAAGAACAGUUAGCAUUUACAAGACAAAAUCUGCG
Long non-coding RNA from Actinia tenebrosa (Australian red waratah sea anemone), 767 nucleotides. NCBI's taxonomy places the organism in Eukaryota, Metazoa, Cnidaria, Anthozoa, Actiniaria, Actiniidae. The record is from RefSeq and is a predicted model, not a curated record.